GUUUUCACCCCUUGUCGAGUCCAUUCCCUCUGGGAGUGUAAUCGAUGAGGGCGGGGGAUGCUUCACGUAUCCUCUACAUAUUACCACUUUUUUUGAAUGAGGGUGGAAUA
Molecule: ribosomal RNA, 110 nt
Filed under: Entamoeba coli
Lineage: Eukaryota; Evosea; Mastigamoebida; Endamoebidae
Description: partial 18S ribosomal RNA
Source: RNAcentral